RNAcentral lists this transfer RNA (64 nucleotides) under Neuroctenus yunnanensis. RNAcentral's name for it is "tRNA-Pro". The record is from RNAcentral. Lineage: Eukaryota; Metazoa; Arthropoda; Insecta; Hemiptera; Aradidae.
CAGUUAGUAGUUUAAUAAAAAUGUUAAUUUUGGAGAUUAAUGAUGUGAUAUUUCACCUUACUGA